This 76-nucleotide transfer RNA is filed under the name Shewanella frigidimarina. RNAcentral's name for it is "tRNA-Met". It matches the Rfam family "tRNA". From Rfam's summary of the family: Transfer RNA (tRNA) molecules are approximately 80 nucleotides in length. Lineage: Bacteria; Pseudomonadati; Pseudomonadota; Gammaproteobacteria; Alteromonadales; Shewanellaceae. The record is from RNAcentral.
CGCGGGAUGGAGCAGUUGGUAGCUCGUCGGGCUCAUAACCCGAAGGUCGUAGGUUCAAGUCCUACUCCCGCAACUA